Molecule: ribosomal RNA, 253 nt
Filed under: uncultured bacterium
Lineage: Bacteria
Description: partial 16S ribosomal RNA
Rfam family: Bacterial small subunit ribosomal RNA
Source: RNAcentral
AACGUAGGAGACAAACGUUAUCCGGAGUUACUGGGCGUAAAGGGCGUGUAGGUGGUUGCGUAAGUCUGGCGUGAAAUUUUUCGGCUUAACCGGGAAAGGUCGUCGGAUACUGCGUAGCUAGAGGACGGUAGAGGCGUGUGGAAUUCCGGGUGUAGUGGUGAAAUGCGUAGAGAUCCGGAGGAACACCGGUGGCGAAGGCGGCCUUCUGGACAGUGACUGACGCUGAGACGCGAAAGCGUGGGGAGCAAACAGG